RNAcentral lists this ribosomal RNA (253 nucleotides) under uncultured bacterium. RNAcentral's name for it is "partial 16S ribosomal RNA". It matches the Rfam family "Bacterial small subunit ribosomal RNA", at positions 524 to 776 of the family's 1533-position model. The record is from RNAcentral.
UACGGAGGGGGUUAGCGUUGUUCGGAAUUACUGGGCGUAAAGCGAGCGUAGGCGGUUAAUCAAGUUGGUGGUGAAAGCCCGGAGCUCAACUCCGGAACUGCCAUCAAAACUGGUUUACUUGAGAUUGGUAGAAGAAAAUGGAAUUCCUAGUGUAGAGGUGAAAUUCGUAGAUAUUGGGAAGAACAUCUGUGGCGAAGGCGAUUUUCUGGGCCAUAUCUGACGCUGAGGUUCGAAAGCGUGGGUAGCAAACAGG